RNAcentral lists this ribosomal RNA (301 nucleotides) under uncultured bacterium. RNAcentral describes it as "partial 16S ribosomal RNA". It matches the Rfam family "Bacterial small subunit ribosomal RNA", at positions 509 to 807 of the family's 1533-position model. The record is from RNAcentral.
CAGUAGCCGCGGUAACACGAAGGGUGCAAGCGUUAAUCGGAAUUACUGGGCGUAAAGCGUGCGUAGGCGGUGAGUUAAGUCCGCUGUGAAAUCCCCGGGCUCAACCUGGGAAUGGCAGUGGAUACUGGCUCGCUAGAGUGUGUCAGAGGAUGGUGGAAUUCCCGGUGUAGCGGUGAAAUGCGUAGAGAUCGGGAGGAACAUCAGUGGCGAAGGCGGCCAUCUGGGACAACACUGACGCUGAGGCACGAAAGCGUGGGGAGCAAACAGGAUUAGAUACCCGCGUAGUCCCUGUCUCUUAUAC